This 909-nucleotide long non-coding RNA is filed under the name Anas platyrhynchos platyrhynchos (common mallard). RNAcentral's name for it is "lncRNA (ENSAPLG00000019399.1)". The record is from RNAcentral. Lineage: Eukaryota; Metazoa; Chordata; Aves; Anseriformes; Anatidae.
UACGUGUGCCAGGCUUUGGAGAUAUUUCACUUGCAGUUUUAGGCAGCUCCAAGCCACUCACUGACCUUUUGAGAGUUUCCUAAAUCUCACAGUUGGAAAGCACCGGUGCUGGAUGCCGAUAGUACUGAAUUAUGUAUGAUAAGUUCUAUUUCCUUUUGCAUGUCCAGAUGAUGGUCCACUAGCGCCAAGUGGUGGCAGUCAAAAAUUUAUGAAAAAUGAGUAUUCCAUGGAUGCAAGGAAAUGCCAUGACCCAGGACCAUGUCAUUGGACUGCUGAUAUCAUGUCAUACAACAGCCCUAUCCAAAAUUGUGAUGGCCAUGUCCUGCUGAGAUCUGCAACUUCAGCCAAGGCAAAGCAGAGGGCUCCAGCUAAUGGCUGCUGGAACAGAACGACCUAAUUGGAGGCAGGUUUGGGAAGAGCAGCAGUGGACACUGGAGUCUGCGUUCUGGAAAAGAAGAGCCAGUGUUGGAUGCCUAAAACCGUCAGCUGUAUUUUACAGCCAUGCUUUUUAAUAUUUUUAACAGGCUAUGCUUAAGAGCAGCUAAUUUACUGUGUGCCUCAAUAGCAGUCUGAAACUAUUGAGCAUCUAGUAAGAACAGAGAAAUCAGUGAGCAGCUCUAGAGACACGGCCAUCAUUUCAACAUGUGCAUUUGCAUAUUCCAUCUAAUGCCUGAAGUCAGAUGCCUAAAAUUAGUAGAUUUAUUUGGAUGUGUGGAAAUAAUUGUAAUUUGUUUCACAGCAAUCAAUUUGUGAUGCUUUGAUUUCCCUUUCUACAGAAUUAAAUUAUUAAGGGGCAAAUAUGAUUUUCAAGAUACUUUUUAUCAUUCCCUCUGCUUGAAGUUUUGUCAAGUUUGACAUGCUAUAACCCAACGCUCAACCACAAGUAAUAAAUAUUAAAAAUAAAAAUCA